GGAACAUUAAACCGAAGCUAGAGAGGGGCGGUAUCACUAAGGAACUGUCAACGCAGCGGUCUCAGGGUACCAGCAUUGUGGAUGCCAGGGUUUGCAGGACUGUUCAAGAAAACCAAGUCUGCUCCUUCCAGCUCGCUUUCCAGCUCCACCCCGUAUCACCGACCCAUCUUUAAUGGCAACCCUCGAGGAUCGCCAGUGACUUUAUUUUUUGCAAGCUUUAAAAAAUGAUUAGAAUGCAAAUACUCACUGCAGUGGGACAGACUAUAGUUGCAGAUGGAUCAAGCACCAUUCCUGUGCUGGAUCCCCGGAGGGAAGAGGAAUGGAGGUCUCUGGCUUGUGAGACAAAGCUUGGUCAAGGAGGCUUGCUUUGGGGACUGGACUUGGAAAACCAAGAAGGGGAAACUGAGGCUCAGGCUGGAAGAAGCAAGGCUGAAGCUUACACAGCCUGCCAGGAAUAGGCCUCUGCAACCCCUCAGCCAGGAUUCAUCCCUCUCCUGUACUGUCUGUCAGGCCAGGGCAAAUCAACAUAAGAGAGGGCCAGAAGCCCAUUGCUCUUAGCGUGGAUUCCCCUGCCCUGGCUUUGCGUCACUGCUCAUCACGGGAAGAUGUUUAUCCUGAGCGGAGAGACUUCCAAGUCCCUGACUGGAAACUAACUCAAGGUUAAGAAAUCUUCGCGUAUUUUUACAAGGUAUGAUUGUAAAGCAGACAAACAAUGCUUAAAGGGAAGUCCAUGUUUCUUUUCUACCUUCAAUUCACUCUUACUAGCUUUUAAAUUUCUUUGUGAUUCUCAGGUGCUAUGGGUCUCUGCUCCUGGGAAGUGGCUCUAACUGUAACUGAGAGAACUCUGGAAUUGUUAGAGUUUAAAGGAAGCUUCACAGUAUUCUGGGCCAUGUUUUUUGGUUUACAGAUGGGAAUAGUGGGGCUGAGAGGGAGUCAGUCUUUAAUCUGGCUUAUUCAGCAUGUUAAUAGACUACUAAUCAUACAAGUCAGCCAUUUGGCCAAUCAAGGGCAAGGAGGUUUCUACAAAGCAUCUCCCUCUGAGAUACACAGAUCAUUUUUAUGAACAAGAAGUGGACUGAGCCCAGCUCUGGGGAGCUGAACUUACCGGAUCCUGGGCUUAAAGAAUCUAUAGGUAUCUACAUAAAGGCAUGGAUCAUGGGUUGUCCUCCUCCCCAUCUUGUUUCCUGGAGAGACUGGUACAUUGAAGGCAGGAGAAUUUUCCAAGAUUUCACGAUGACUCGCAAAAGCACUGAGAUUGCAUGCUGCUCCAGGUAAGUAUUUGGACGACAUAUGUAUCCCUCUAACCAUGUGGGGAAUUUUGUACAAACCAUCUCCCUCCUGAGACUCAGUUUCUCCAUCCAUCACAGGGAUUUACUCAACCACCAUAGGAAUGUGUCAGCUGUCAUGGUCUCAGGAUCUAGAAUCCAAGGUUCGGGGCUAUUUCAUGACUAACAUAAGAUUAUGUGAAGUGAGAAAUCAACUGCCACAGUGAUAUACCACCAAGGUUUUGGAACAUUACAGGACAGACGAGUUCUGCUUCCAAAACACAAAGUCAGUGGUUGCUAUUAGCUAUUUGUGUACAAAAUGUUAAUGACAAUAUAUUUAUUUUUAUUUUUCCCUAUGUCAUUUUCUCAGCCUCUUACGAUCACUUGUCUGCUUUCAAAGAAAAGCAUAUAAAACAGCACGUACACUAGUGACAGAGCAAUAGAAAACUCAGAAACAUGAUAUCUUUAUCACUUUUUCCUUUAUUGAGGCAUAAGAAAGAAACAAUAUGCAACAAACAUUUACCACAUACGAUGGAACUGGUACACUUUCAAAUAGGACCAGUAAACAACUAGUGCUGUAAUGUCCAUUUCCCAGAUGACAAAACUGGAGCCCAGUGAUGGCAUAGUUUACUUAGUACAUAUAAAGUGUUAAGUAAUAAAGCUUAGGUUUGAAAUCAGUUUUCCUGACUCAGAUUUACCCGAAUUAAUCACUUUCUUGCCUCGAACCUCCGUGAAAACACACGUUCCACACCACACUGUGCUUCCACGACCCACGAGACCCUCCCACAACUGAGUUCAGCUGUGUCGCAUGCUUAUUCUGUGCGGGGCACAAUUCUAAAUGCUGUCUAAUCCUUGCAUCAAUCCUUCACAGUGAGAGUCAUUAUUAUUAUCCCAUGUUACAGACAAAGCGACAGGAGCAGGGAGGCGAGGCGCUUUACCCUGCUUUCACUGCUAGGACAGGAGAAUCCAAGAGUCAAAACUAAAGCAUCCUGGCCCCAGAGCUAGCCCUGCUUCUCUUCCUAUGCUUCAAGGGACAAGUCUCACCUCUGGAGGAACGAGUGACCUAUUUAACUUGAGGAGAAAAUGACUUUUCCAUGAGGAGGAGCAGGGGCAGAGGAACACGGGAGCUUAGGGCCCUAAGAGCCCUCUGCCCCUGGAAUGCAAUUCUUCCCAGGCUGAAAGUUGCCCUUGUAAAAUGAUCCAUAAUGAAGAUCCUGUUAGUGUGCAAGAGACCUGCCAGGCAUGUAUCACCUGCGAGCCAUCAGCAUGCUUCGUAAAGCCGCACAGCCUUGACGAGCCUGCUCUUCUUCCCCGCCUGGGCUGACAGCCCUCCCUGGGUGGAGCCCUCUGUGUGUACUCUGUGGGCCUCACAGUGUGGAGGACUGGACUUGGCUGCAGGGGAGAGUUCCCACACAGGUGCCAGCAGGCCAUUCAUGUUUAACACUUCCCUUUAUAUAAGAACAGUAAAGUAUGACUUUAAAGCUA
Molecule: long non-coding RNA, 2750 nt
Organism: Cavia porcellus (domestic guinea pig)
Lineage: Eukaryota; Metazoa; Chordata; Mammalia; Rodentia; Caviidae
Exons: 2
Source: RefSeq, a predicted model, not a curated record